Molecule: long non-coding RNA, 19496 nt
Filed under: Capsicum annuum
Lineage: Eukaryota; Viridiplantae; Streptophyta; Magnoliopsida; Solanales; Solanaceae
Description: long non-coding RNA (CANN_LNC016949)
Source: RNAcentral
CGAACAAUAACUUUCUGAAUCCAUACUAUACAAAACUGAAUUUACAAGAUAACAACUCUGCUCUUAGAAACAAAACUGAAACUGAAUACAUCAGCUUCUACUGGCUGUCUAUGAAGCCUCUACUAGCAUUGACUUUAGAUAGCCAGGACAUGACCCCCAACUAUCGCAAAUCAAUACGACUGAAUAAAGAAAAUAUCAAGUUGUAGAACUGACUCGAGCCCUUGAAUCAAAAGGACUCAUCAUUUGCUGACUGGAAGCUGCAACUGUCUGAAUAUAGUAUGCGUGCUAUAACUGAACUGAUACCAACAUUAGAAGACAAUGUGUGCAUAGACGUAUAUGUGGAUCAGUACUUUGAGGAUGUACUGAAUAUAUGGAAGUGUAUGCAAUAGUUAAACAAUAUCAUCAAUCUUUAUAGAAAUCAUGCAUGUUAAAUAUAAAAUGACUCACAUAGCUUGAAUAAAAUUCUCAUAAGUUGAGGUUAGGAAAUAGAUAAUAGAAAUCACGUGAGUCGUUUCACUUUAUUCUGGAUCUCUAUUCUUACUUUGUUCUCAACUUGUAAAUUAGAUAAAAUCUUAAAGCAUCAACCUUCAGGACAUAAGCUAUAAUCUCAUGAAAGCAAGAAACUUCUUGGGAACUUAGUAAUCAUGACACUUGAAAACUUUAGAAAUCAUAGAAACCAUAGCCUUCAAAAUCAAUAUACAUUCAAACUCACACUUUUAGCUUAAGGAUAGUAACACUUCUUUAAAACUCAAGAACUUGAUACUUUAGGAACUUUAAGACUUGAGACUCUAGAAAACUUAAGAGACUUUGGGACACUUGGGACUCGGGAUUAUAUCUUUGGGAGUUUCUUCUAACCGACAUAAACCAUGUAAAUUACAGAGAGUCCAACGUUUUACCCACGUUGGGGAGAACUAUUCUAUCCUUUCCAUCGGAGUAGAACCUUUAACUUUUAGUGAUCACUAUCUUAACCCACUUGGGGUAAAUCAGAAACCUACGGGGGCACGUAGUUCUGGGCCAUGAGACCUAGGAAUCAAGCCUAACUUGGUGCUAAAUACUACUCCCUUACUUAGCUCAGAACUUUAAGAAAAUUCACCUUAAACAAUUCAACAAUAUGUAAUAGGAGUCAAUAUGCUUCCUCUUUUAUCUCAAAUCAAACAAACAAUGUGGAUUUCUUUCUUAGCUUAGGGUCAAAACUCAAUUCUUUUCUUGAAAUCUUGAUAGACUUUUCAUCAAAGUUUUAAAAUCUCAACGACAUGGAAAUAUAAGUACACUUCUUGGAGUAUCAAUAAUUCAUCCUCAAAGACUCACAACUUCACAAUAAAGUUCAACUCAUGACAACAACUCUUGGAAAUUCUUGGAAACAUGAUAUCAAUAUAGGAAUGUGCAAUUUAUAUCAAGAACUCUCAAGUUAGAUCAUACUUGAACAAAAUAAUCAUGCAAUUAGGACUUGAACAAUUCCCUAAUAUCAUAAACUUGAAAUAUAGCAAAACAAUAUGAAUUCAUUUUGGAAAUACGAAAUUCUUUAUGAAAAUCUAAAACUUUUGGGCACAAGAACAAAGAGUGUUCUUGUUCAAACCCCAUAUACCUCAAAUUAUGGACUCUUGCUUUUUGGGAUGCUAUUCAUACAAUUGAUAGGUGCUUCUUGUAGCCCUCUCAAUGGGGAAUCCGAAUCUUGAAAAAUUAUCGAAAACCUACGGAUGAAUCUUGAGAUAUUUAAAUUUUUAGGUUGAAACCCUAAUGAAUGGCCUUGGUGAUUUUGAGAGAAAAUAAACUUAUUUUGGUGUCUUAGGGAUUUAAUCCCGUGUUAAGGAUAAUAAAGGGGUGGAAAAUACCAUUUCUACCCUUAAUGAGAUUGAGGAAAAAAGCUGAAAACUAGGCAAAAAGACUAUGGCCAGGGCGGCGCCUUGCCUAGAGCCUUUGCUAAGCUAGGCGGCGCCUCCCUAUAGCCUUUAGCUACUAUUUCUGAAACCCAAACACGCCCUUAGGCUCGUCUACAAAUUUUGAAACUCACCCAAGAUGUACUCUUACCUUACCCCAUUGCAACGCAACAAAAAAAUCAAUAAACGGAGGUCGGGAAGGUCGCUAAAUAAUUCCCCGAAGUUUGAAGGUUCAAAAAUAAACUAAGUGUUGAGCACUUAGCAAAAUUUGUAAGACUUCUUUUGAUUCGUUUCGAAAGCCUUAACGAUGAGGGAACUUUACAGGGUCUUACAAUAUCUCCCCCUUAGGAACAUUCGUCCUCGAAUGUCGCUCGUAAGGCUAAGAGUACAAAGAAAACUAAGGAUUCACGGCUGAAAUAACUUGUUAAAUUGACUCUACUUCAUCUUAGACUUUCGGGUACUUCAUAGAAUGCAUGAACUCAUAAUAAGAAUAUUCAUAUAGCUGAAUCUUUGAUUAAAAAAAAGGACUGAAUUAAGGAAGGCUAUUAUCUUCGUCUGAAUCUGAGCUAACUUGCUUUACCUUAUCAUGGGGAGCUGACUCAUGCUAAGAGUUUAGAACUCUUUUAAUGAGCUCAUGGCAUGAUCGUACUUAUAGACUGCAAAGUGAUUGUUUAUGCAGGCAUAAUCAUGAGAAAAUGAGGCUAAGAUUACACAAUGGAUAUCACAUUGUUUGAACUAGAAUACUUGGAAAAUGAAGGUUGUUCAAUGAAUACUUAUGAACUAAGACAUGACUAGAUACCCGAAUCCUGAAACUGAAACUGAUGUACGAAUUGAACUGAGUUCGCAAUUUACAUGGAUGGAAUAGAUUAUAUCUUGGAAUGGUCAUAUGCAUGAGACUUGAGAUAGCAGGACUGGGUGAAAAAGGUGUAAAACCACACGAUCUUGUCUGCCUCACCGUAAAACUGAAUUGCUGGCUAUACUGACUGAAUUACACUGGAAACUUAUACAUAGUUGGAGUAUCUCUUCAACACUCCAUAACAUGGAAUAUAGACAUAUAACUCAUAAACUGGGAUAGAAUUACCAGGCUUUAGGCGAUGCAACUUCUUACCUUCAAGCUUAGCAGCAGUUCUCGAAUACUCCAUCAUCUAUACUAUUCCCCUUAAAUACAAUACUCACUUGAUUCAACUUAUAAUUCUCAUAUAGCACUAAUAUUUCCAUCUACUAAUAUCUAGACUGAAUUAAAUUCUCUCACCAUCUUUAAACCUAACUCAAAAUCAUAGGACGCACCACAUAAUACUGUAAUACUAGCCUAAACCAUAAAUUCAACACACCCUGCAUUUCACAACUUUUCAUCUCAUGCGAAAUUCUCAUUACCACUCCAACAAACACAUUUGACCUCGUACUAGACAUUUACUAACGCGCAAUACAUUCAUCCCAAUAUAUAUACAAACAAGAUGCUCAAGCCUACUUCUAUAACCACAUAUGAACUUCUAAACACACUCCCAUAAAAUACCUUUGUCACAACUUACAAACCUCUAUCAAGAACAACUUCCAUGCACUACUCCUAAGAAGACAUACAUAAGAUUUCAACUACCCAAACAUCGCAUAUAAAACUUCGACUAACCAUGACGGGUAUUAAAGACUUGGCUUCAAUCUUACUUCACACUCUACUGCCUUAACUAAAAUAAGCAUACAACUAUCUUCCAGUAACAAGAAAUGUUUAGUCUCUCCCAUCCAGACAACUGAUCAUCAUCACUAUCUUGACCGAAGAAAAGGUAAUAGAAGUUUAGAACAUGAGGGCCUGAAACAUAAAGGGAUACUGUGAACUCAACUGAGGCUUGAGGAAUAGAAUAUUUAGCAUCAUGAACUUAUCAAAGAGGUCUAACCCGAGGACAUGCAUGAUAUAAACCUGAAUUUCGCUGAUCAUUAAAAGUAUUGCUUGAAUACUUGAACUAAACAUACCGUAAAGCUUGAGUACAUGAGUCAUGAGCUACAUGACUUAAAUUUGGAGUUCAUAACUUAUGAAAUGUGAUUCCAACUGCCGAAAGAACUGGAACUCCUUAUUCUUGGGAAUUAAGGGAGUACAAAUUUCUCUAUCAUAUGCAUGAACAUGAAUUAAGAUCAUGAAACUGAACUUAAGGCAUGAGCAGAUAUUGGGACAACUGAAAUGAUAUUGGGUCGGGCAUUAUGAUUCCUUACAGCUGUUCUACAACUUAUUGGUACAUCUACUAGAAUCUAAAAGCUUGACUUGGUUACUUGUGCUAUCAUCUCCCCCUUAAACUUCAGCCAUCAUUCUAAGGCUGUGAACCACUAUGUAAACUCUAGUCUGGUUGCAAUCACUUUACUCUAGAGUCUGGAAUAUAACAAUGCACGUGAAUGAUAGAACUUAACCCAAAUGACUACACCUGAAAGGGUAAGACCAACUUCUAAUACAACCUUCUGAGCUACACCCUCUCUUUCUAUAGCCCCAAAAGUCAUUAUAUAAUAUUUGAACACUUCCUAGCUUUGAAUCCACAUAAGCAUCCCUAUAGUCGGAGUGCACACCAUUUAGUGCUUUAACUCUUAUUUCUAUUAUCUCAAUCUCCCAACUUUCAAAAUUAGAUUCUAACGCUUAAUAUGGGUAUCUCCAAACUUUUGAUGGACCAUACUACUUCUAUCAUAGCCUACCAAUAUCACACUUAUAAGCUUAUAUUUCUAAACCAUGAGAAUCAAAAUCAUACUUAACAGGCUCAACACCGUCAAUCAUAACUCCUUAACUUAGUUAUCAAGAACAUCGUACAUUAUCUAAUGAGUCUUUCUCCACCUAGAAACUCAACAGUACUACUAACCACACAACAUGCAAUGAUCCUCGAAAAUAAUGCAGCCCUAUAGCACCUUGGGCGUCCUUCUACAUCAUGUUUACAACAUCAGACAUGAUUACGAAUCAAAUAAACUUAAGCUCUUUCACACACUGUUCAAGCCUACUAGAUCAUUCAUGUACGUCUAACAUCCACAACACAUCAAUCAUUAUAUCCACCUUGCUCAUCAUCUAUGAUUCGAACUUGUCAACUAUUCAUACCUGUCAAACAUCCAAAGAUUCUAGUCUGUUAAAAUCUCAUAACAUUAAGGAUCAAUCACAACCCUAUGAUCUAUCUUAUUUAAAAUCCAUUAACACACUCUCCUUCUACACAUCAUUACUAUCUACCAAGUAUUUUCAUCAAUAACUUAUACCUUUCUAGCACAACAAACAUUAUCAACAACUCUCUUCACACUUCAAGCAAACAUCAAUUCACCUUAACUAAUAACUCCUUCUCUAUCUUCUACUAAACUAACACAUAAGGACAUAUCACUUCUCAAAUGCCCUGUAGCCUCUCGAAGAAAAGUACAGACGUCUCCAUAGCGUUCCACAAGACUCUACUAGAGACGACUCACCCUAGGACUCUUGAACUCUAUGCUUUGAUACCAAAUUUGUAAUGCCCCGAAAUGAGUCCCGAGACGUCACACAGUGCUUAAGGUCACAAGUGACCCCAAGCUAACACUUUAAUUGGCAUAACUCAUAUGCAACUAAAUAAAAUACAUAAAUCUAUACAAAAUCAGCGAAAAAUAACUCUUCUGAAUCUAUACUAUACAAAACUGAAUUUACAAAAUUACAACUCUGCUCUUAGAAACAAAACUGAAACUGAAUACAUCAACUUCUACCGACUGUCUAUGAAGCCUCUACUAGCAUUGACUUUAGAUAGCCGAGACAUGACCCCCAACAAUCCCAAAUCAAUACGACUGAAUAAAGAAAAUAUCAAACUGUAAAACUGACACGAGCCCUUGAAUCAAAAGGACUCAUCACUUGCUGACUGGAAGCUGUAACUGUCUGAAUAUAGUAUGCGUGCUACAACUGAACUGAUACCGACAUUAUGAGAUAAUAUAGCACAUAGAUGUAUAUGUGGAUUAGUACUUUGAGGAUGUACUGAGUAUAUGGGGGUGUAUGCAAUAGUUAAACAAUAUCAUCAAUCUUUAUAGAAAUCAUGCAUGCUAAAUGUAAAUGACUCACAUAGCUUGAAUAAAAUUCUCAUAAGUUGUGGUUAGGAAAUAGAUAAUAGAAAUCACAUGAGUCAUUUUACUUUAUUCUGGAUCUGUAUUCUUUCUUUGUUCUCAACUUGUAAAUUAGAACCUUUAACUUUUAGUGAUCACUAUCUUAACCCACUUGGGGAAAAUCAGAAACCUACGGGGGCAUGUAGUUCUGGGCCAUGAGACCUCGAAAUCAAGCCCAACUCGGUGCUAAAUACUACUCCCUUACUUAGCUCAGAAAUUUAAGAAAAUCCACAUUAAACAAUUCAACAAUAUGUAAUGGGAGCCAAUAUGUUUCCUCUUUAUCUCAAAUCAAACAAAUAAAACAAAUAAUGUGGAUUUCUUUCUUAGCUUAGGAUCAAAACUCAAUUCUUUUCUUGAAAUUUUGAUAGAUUUUUCAUCGGAGUUUUAAAAUCUCAACAACAUGAAAUAUAAGUACAUUUCUUAAAGUAUCAAUAAUUCAUCCUCAAAGACUCACAACUUCACAAUAAAGUUCAACUGAUGACAACAACUCUUGGAAAUUCUUGGAAACAUGAUAUCAAUAUAGAAAUAUGCAAUUUAUAUCAUGAACUCUCAAUUUAGAUCAUAAUUGAACAAAAUAAUCAUGCAAUUCAAGACUUGAACAAUUCCCUAAUCUCAUAAACUUGAAAUAUAGCAAAAUAAUAUGAAUUCAUCUUGAAAAUCUGAAAUUCUUUAAGAAAAUCUAAAACUUUUGAGCAUNNNNNNNNNNNAAAGAGUGUUCUUGUUCAAACCCCACAUUCCUACAAUUAUGGAUCUUGCUUUUUGGGAUGUUAUUCGUACAAUUGAUAGGUGUUUCUUGUAGCCCUCGCAAUGGAGAAUCCGAAUCUUGAAAAAUUAUUGAAACCCUACGAUUGAAUCUUGAGAUAUUUGGAUUUUUAGGUUGAAACCCUAAUGAAUAUCCUUGGUGAUUUUGAGAGAAAAUAAACUUAUUUUGGUGUCUUAGGGAUUUAAUCCCGUGUUAAGGAUGAUAAGGGAGGGGAAAAUACCAUUUCUACCCUCAAUGAGACAGAGGAAAAAAGUUGAAAACUAGGCAAAAAGGCUGGCCAGGGCGGCGCCUUGGGCAGCGCCUAGCCCAGAGCCUUUGCUAAACUGGGCGGUGCCUCCCUAUAACCUUUAGCUACUGUUUUUGAACCCAAAGACGCCCUUAGGCUCGUUUAUAAAUUUUGAAACAUACCCAAGAUGUACUCUUACCUUGCCCCAUCGAAACGCAACAAAAAAAUAAUAAAUGGAGGUCGGGAAGGUCACUAAAUAAUUCCCCGAAGUUUGAAGGUUCACUAAUAAACUAAGUGUUGAGCACUUAGCAAAAUUUCUAAGUGUAAGAUUUCUUUUGAUUCGUUUCGAAAGCCUUAACGACGAGGGAACUUUACGGGGUCUUACAAUAUCUCCCCCUCGGGAACAUUCAUCCUCGAAUGUCGCUCGUAAGGCUAAGAGUACAGAUAAAUCCAUAUGUUUACCAAAAAUGCCUAAGUGAAAUAAUUGUGCAAUUUGAUCCAUUAUUGAUCUUAAUUAUGAAAUCAUGAAAGAACUACAUGUCUAAAGGACUCCCAUGUUAAAGUUAUGCCUUGAAGGUGUUUGUUGAAAUGCCUAUGUGAAUCAUUAGUGUACUUAUGACAUGAUAGCAUGUAUCCCUAUAUAUGUACAAGUUCAAGAUUUACAAGUGUUUGAUGAAAUGCCUUAGAAAGUGAAUUAUGAACAUGUGGCCAUUGUCGUGCCUUUAAGAUUUAUGUUACGCUUUACUCUUUACGUUAUCAAGUCUUGGAUGACGACCUUGAUGAGCAUAUGCAACCAGUCUUAGACUCUACCCCUCAGCCCAGAAUUGAUCUCAGCGGAACUCCAAAACAUGGGCCAGAGCCUCCCCUUCUUUCUUCCUAAAAUGCCUGAGCUCCUGAGAGAGGGCCCAAUUUUUAUCAAAUCCUAUGGGGAGCUCCCACAAAUUCCACUUCUCACAAACGAAAUAGACAUUCCACAUCAUCGACUUUCGAUGGAAAUAAUGGAAAGAGCGAAAACCAUGGAGGCUCUAAGGCAAACAACAGGGAAAUAGAGAAACUCCUGGCAUUAUUAAAGGUCCCAGAGCAAAGGUCAUACUUCUAGGAAGGCCUAUCUCUCAAACAUUCGAGGAACUUAUCAGCGUGUUUCUAAUUGUCCUACUUACCCCAGAACUAAACCAGUUCGAUCUAUAAGUCAACCUCCCAAAGUCAAACAUCUUCUACUUCAGCCAAGAUGACCCCGAUAUCCAAGAAAAGAAAAGAACCAACGUCAACCUUUCUCCCUCGCUUAAUGGACAAGGGGAAAAGAAUACUAGAUCCAGCCCAUCAUAAGCCCCCCCCCCCCCCAUCCUCCUCUAUGAUGACUUCAAUAAUAUCAAAUGUUAGAGGAGCAAAGAAUGCUGAGUUCAGAAGGCAUUGUCAAUCAAUGGUUAACAUUCACAAGCCUUUUCUGCCUACCCUCCUAAUAAAGACAUUGCUGAAACUUUGGGUUUAAAUAGCCAAAUUCAAUUCCCUACUACGGGUAGCGUAUGAGGUAUUGUUAUCAUGUGGGAUAAUUCUACUUUGGGUAUUCAAAACAUUGUUAUUUUCCCUCAGGGCAUUCAUGUGGCUGUAAAGGUAAUUAGCCCUUCUUCCUCUUGGUACUUUAGUGUUAUAUAUGCUAGUAAUAGUUUUGAAGUUAGGAAAAGUCUUUGGGCUUAACCUCAUCGAGUUUGCUAACUCUAUUGCUGGUGAGUCUCCUAAUACCUAGAUUAUUGGAGGGGACUCUAGUGAAGUCCUUAAAGCUCAGAGAAGAUUGGUGGCAAUAAUAUCAAUAUAACUAGAGCGACUGCCUUCUCAGAUUGCAUCAAUAAUUAUAGCCUUGUGGAUUAGGUUUCAAAGGCAGCAAGUAUACUUUGUCUAAAAAAAUAUUUAGGAAUAGAAGGGGACUCAUUCUUGAAAGGCUAGAUAGAUGUCUAGCCAAUGAGGCUUGGAUUCACCUCUUUCCUAAAGCCUCUGUCUCCCAUCUUCCCAGAACCGAUUACGAUCAUUGUCCCCUUCGCUUGAAGCUGGACAAUACCCCCAACACCUAGGAUAACCCCUUUAGGGUUAAGUCCAUAUAGUGCUCUCACCCAAGCUUUAUUCACAUUAUCCAGAAUUCUUUUUCCCCUGAGGUUCCUCUGACCGAGGCCAUAACCAUCUUUGAAUCCCAGGUUUUCACCUAGAAUAGAGAAACCUUUACUAACAUCUUUAAGGAAAGAACAAGAACCUUGCUAGAUUAGAUAGCAUCCAAAAAUCUCCCUAUUAUCACUCCAGCCUCUUUCUCCAGGACCUUGAAAGAACCCUCACUAAGGAAUUUAGUAUCAUUCUCGGACUAGAAUAAGUGUUCUGGAAACUUAAAUCCAGAAUCAAUUGGAUUGCUGAGGGUGACUCUAAUACUAGAUUCUUCCAUAUCUUUACUCUAAUAGAAGAAGAAGAAAUUGGAUUAAUGUCAACAAAAAAGAUAGUGGUAAUUGGAUCUACUCUACAGAGGCAAUCUACAACCACAUCCUAUCCUUCAACAACAAUCUCUUCGGGAUUGACCACCUUUCAUAUCCUCUGUCAGUUGAACCCCUCCUCUUUAGAGGGUCCAUCAAAUCAGAGGAUCAUGAUUCUCUUAACAACAUCCCUUCCCCUAAAGAAAUUAAAAGAACCAUCUUCUCUUUCAAUCCUUACAAAGCUCCUGGCCCUGAUGCCAUCCAACCCUCCUUUUACCAGAGAUACUUGUACAUCUUGAGUCAUUCUGUUAUCAACACCUUCACUUCUGGUAAAAUGAAGUAUAAGGUCAAUUCUACCUAUCUUUGUCUCAUCCCCAAAUGUCCUAAUGCUAGCAAUAUUAGGAAUUACAGACCCAUUGGGCUCUGUAACACUCAAUAUAAGCUUAUCACUAAAAUCCUAGCUUUCGGGAUAAAACCUCAUUUUGCUAAGAUCAUCAGCCACACUCAAGAAAGCUUUCUCCCCAACAGGAGGACCUCAGACAAUGCAAUCAUUGUUCAAGAGGCCAUAUCCCACUUCCAGAAAAUGAAAGGCAAGUAGACAUAUGGUUUUGAAAAUAAACCUCAAAAAAGCCUUUGAUGGACUAAAGUGGUAUUCAUUAGACAAGCUCUCCAUUUCCUCAACAUCCCAACCAAACUCAGCUCCCUCAUAAAGUCAUACAUCUCUUCUUCCGGUGUAUUUGUUUUAAUUAAUGGGAGAAAAUCCGACUUCUUCUACCCCUCUAAAGGGAUCUGACAAGAUGACCCUCUUUUUUCCCUACAUCUUUUUCAUGUGCAUGAAACUACUCUCUAUGAGAAUAAACCAUGAGGUAGAUAUCCUUAAUUGGAACCCUAUAUCCAUUUGCAAUAAUGGCCCCAAACUUUCCCAUCUUUUUUUUGUUGAUGACCUUACCCUCUUCUCUAAGGUCUCUAUAGGAAGUUGUACCACCAUUUCCAAAGUUGUUGAGUCUUUUAGCCUUCAUUCUGGGCAAAAAAUCAACCUUUCCAAAGCCAAGGCAUCUUCUCAAAGAAUUGCUCCCCUCAAGACAAAACCUCUAUGGUAAACAUCCUCUCUAUCCAAGUUAAGGAUAACUUUGGGAAGUACAUUGGUUUCCUUAUUCUUCACUCUGCCCCUUGCUAAAAGGACUUCCAGUUCAUCAUUAAUAACAUUAACACUAGACUAGCUGGUUGGAAAACCAAGUUCCUGAACCUUUUUGGGAGGGUUACCCUUGCAAAAGCCUCUCUUAGUAGUAUUCCUAUCCAUGUUAUGUAGUACCACUUCAUCCUUAGCAGAAUUAUCUCUCUUAUUGAUAAGAGCCCAAAGGAAUUUUAUUUGGGUUCCACCUUGGAGAAAAGAAGAAUGCACAUGGUGAGCUGGGACGUCAUCACCCUCCCCAAAAACCAAGGUAGACUUGGUCUUCAAAAAGCUAGGCAUAAGAAUGACACCAUGCUUACAAGCCUAACCUGGAGACUUACCCAGAACCCCAACCGUCUUUGGGCACAGAUUCUAAGGAAUAAAUAUGGGUCUCCGAAGUCUAAGUGUAACCCUUCCUUCUCCAAGACUUGGAAAAAUAUCUCCCGAGGUUGGAAGCAUUGUCUGAAUGGUGCCCAAUGGAUUGUCCAUAAUGGGAAUCAUAUCAACUUUUGGUAUGGCAGGUGGAUCCCCAACAUGGAACCCCUUAUAUACCUUAUUCAGGGCCCCCUUAGCCUCCUUCAAUCCUAAAUCAAGGUCUCAGAAGUCUGGAAUGAAGGUAACUAGUUUUUCUCUGACCUCUCCCUCCAAUGGUAUUUUCUCUAGUAGUAGCGCAUAUUCCCUCCAAGGCCCUAUCUUUUUGGUUUGAUAAUGAAUAGAGUUCAGAAUCAUUUUCUUUUUUGUAAUGAAUUAAUUGGUCUUUUUCAUAUGAAUUCCAUUUGUUUAAGUUUCUAUUUUUAUUUUGAGCCAUACAACUUUGAUUAACCCCAGUUCUCCAUUUUUUUGGCAUUAAUCUAGACCAUCUAAUCUUAGAUAAAUCGUAUUGAUAAUGCCGUCUUAACCAGUUUUUCCAUUGAUUGAUUCUAUAACUCUGAGGUUUUUUAUGUUUUAAUUCAGAAUGAAAUAUUCCUAGUGUUCUAAAAUAGUCCUUUAUUUUAGUCUUAAGGAAAAAAGACGUUCUGUUAUAUUGAAGAACAGAUUUAAAUUUAGACAAAUUAAUAACUUGGGUUUGUGAUAAUUUGUAAAAUACAUAUGCUUGUGACAAGUAGGAUAAAUCAAAAAAACUAUGUGAAUUUUUCUUACUAAUAUUAUAAAUAUUAUAAAGUGACUUUUUUAUAGUCGAAAUAAAGAUAAAGUUAAUUUUGUUUUUAUUAUUAAUUUUUUCUUGAUUUAUUUCAUUAUUGGAAAUGUAUUUCUCAAUCAAUUUCUUUGUUGAUUUAAGACGGAGUUGUGUAUUAAUUCUUGUAAUAUUAAUGAUAGAUAAAAAUAGAUCGAUGUAUAAUCUUUGAAUGAAUAAUUUUCUAAAAUAAUGGAAUUGACAUAUUAAUCGAGUAUUUCUUUUUUUUAAUAUUUGGAAAAUAUUUUUUGGCGAUUUAGGACUAAUGUCUAUUUCUGGAGUUACUUUCUUUUUCUCUUUUGUAAUUCUUUCUAUUUGAUUUUUUAUUGUACUUGUUCUAUCAGUCAAAUCCUUCAUUUUGGUUUCUAUCAGUGAAGAAUUUGGCUCUGGAAAACAAACUGCCCCAAGGAUUAAGUCCUUCCUUUGGUAGCCCAACAUAAUAGAUUUCCUACUAAGCUACCCUCUCCAACAUGGGCCUCCCCAUCAGCCCUAACUGUGACUUUUGCAACCACUCCUUAGAAGAUAUCCCCCACCUCUUCUUUGAUUGCCCUGCCACCCAAGAGAUCUAGCAUAACCUUUCUUUAAAGGUCGCAAUGAGCCAAGAAUUACCCUCCCUAAUCUUCACCCUACCAAAUGGUCCCUUUGGACUAAACUAAGACAUAAAAAAUUCAACCACCUCCUUGAUUGACAUGAUAUUAUCCCCUUCUGCCUCUGGACUAUCUGGAGAAACCAAUUAUUUUGAGAACAAGAAGGCAAAACCCUUUUUUAUCCAAAGUUACUCAAAAGCAAUCGAAUAUAACCUUCUAGUUGUAAAUCCUUCAUCCACAACCAGAUUCACGGAUAUCAAUAUCCAUUGGAACCCUCCUCCCAAGGUUACUUUAAACUUAACAUCAAUGACUCGUGUCUUGGAAAUUCGGGUAGGGGAGGGAUAGAAGGUUUGACCCGUAAUGCAAUAGGAGGUUGGGUUCUUGGCUUCACCAAGAGCUUUAGCCAUACCACUAACAACUACAUGGAGUUUGCUCUCAGGGAAGGACUUAAAAUUGUUGAAUCCCACUAGUCUUCACCCUUGGAGAUCAACAUUGAUUCCAUGGAUUUAAUUUCAAUGCUAAAUCAUGGAAACUUACAUUAUAAUGAGUUUCCAUUAUAAUGCUAUCAUUGAUGAAUGCAGGUCUAGCCUAAGAAGAUUAGGAAGCCCAGCGAUGGUGCAUUGCUUUAGAGAGCAAAAUGGCGUGGCUAAUGCCUUAGUGAAUAAGGGGGUUGAAUCUGAAGCGGAGCUGGGAAUCGCUCUUUUUGAAAUUUCGUCAAUGUGUGCGCAACAAUCUCUAUAGGCAGACAUUGUGGGAACUCUUUUUGUUAGACAAAUUAAGCAUCCUCCAGACAGUUUUGUGACAGUUUUGUGACUGACAUCACAAGACUUUUGUACUUAAUCCUGACUCAUCUAGUCAGAACUAUGUUACUCCUUUUGUUUUUUUAUUUAAUAUUAACGCAAGCCUAUUAACCAAAAAAAAAAGAUGGACUAGUUGAGUAAUCCAACAUUGCGAUGAUCAUUACAGAGAGCAAAUUUCUAAAAAAUAGGAAUACAUUAUACUUUUAAGCUAAUCUUGAGUGAAGACUUAUAAGAAUGAGUUCAGAAUCAAUUGUUUAGACCACUUUUAUGUUAUAACCUAAAGAAGAAAAUCUGUGUAAGUCUAGGCUUCUAAGCGAACUAUACCUUAAGGACCAGUUUGGUAGGCCGCACUAAUUAGAAUAAUCCAUGGAUUAAAAUUGUCUCUCCAAUACAUCGUUUGGUUACUUUUCAACUUAAUACAUGAAUUACUUAUACACCAUAUGAUGUCUUAUUUUAUCCCUAGUAAAUGGAAAGGAUAACUUAUCCAAGAUUUAACAAUCCAUGGAUAAGACCUCCAAAUGACUAAAUUAUCCCUCAAUUUUUUUUUUAAAUUUCUUUUGUAAUUUGACAUCCUCAUUAACUAUAUUGGGUUGGUUAUAAAUGUUCUUUUUAAUUCUCGGACUCUAGUUCAUUGUAAUUUGACUAUUUCAUAAAUUAUGUUUGACUUUUUUCUUCAUAUUUCAUUUUCUUUACUGGGUUGAGAAACAGUUCAUGGAUUGGUCAUUUUAAUAAGCUUUAGGUAUUUAAACAUUUAUGUAGCCUUAAAUCUAUGGUAAAUUUAAGGCAGGUUUGACCAAUAAAAGAAUAUUGAAAGUACACAGUGUUAUCAAGGAUUUUCAUAGUGGCAAUCACACCAGAAAAUUAGUAAUAAAUUUUUAUUCAUAUUUUAGUUUUUAACUUGACUAAUUUAAUGAAAUAGAAAAUCCCAUAAAAAUUCAAGGGUAUAAUUGUAAAUGAGAUUUUUGUAGAGUUUUAAAUCAAACAUAAUACAUGAUAUAUCUAGUUUUUAAUAUAAUGAACCAAACACUUGAUAAAAAAUAAUUCAAGUACUAUAAUCCCUGUAUUAUUUCCUGCAUUAGCUGUCUUCGUACCAAACGACCUCUAAAAUCGGUACCUUUAUAAAAGUUUAGCUCAAACAUAGUUGAAAUUUGACCUCUUUGAAAUUAUUGAACACUACGUAAACCCCUUCUCUAGCUGAGGCCUUCCUUAAUGGGUUCUAAUUCUAAGAAGGGUACAAGUGAACAAGAGGGUAAAUUAGGUAGUAAAAUGAUACUUUAAUUAGUUGUUUUAAGAGAAUUAAAGAGUAAGGGAACUUGUUUGUCAAUAAUUUCUUAUUCACAUCUAAAUAUAAUCGGAGAAUAACAAAAGAAAGAUUUCAAGGCUUUGAGAAUAUCACUUUGAUACUUUUCCUCAUCACCUUUAUCUUCAAAUCAAGGUGUAUUACAUUACUACUUAAUAUAAGUGACAAUCUUGAGUUUUUCGUCGUUCUCACAGGAACAAUUUUAGAAUAUCACUGUGUCCUUUGUAAAUGAUAUUGAUAAACUAGAAAAUUUAAAGUUGUGAAAACUCUCUAGAAAUGCUCACAGCGCAUGUUAGCUAACGUACGCUGAGCUUGAAAGCCACGGCUAGAGGGAGAGGCCGAGGAUGGGGGCGAGGUUGAGGAAGGCCCCCAAGACAACUAUUGCUUCUUUUGGUAGCUCUGUAGCUACUAGACAACAAAUCCCACUUAAAUCUGACUUGAUUACACCCCCACUAGGGAUUAAGGUUAAGGAGCAACACCUGGUAGGCGAUGGGAGUCCCACCACUGCAGUAGCUAAGAAACUCUAAUUAAGUGACACUCCACCUACUGAUAGUAAAGUUGAUGAAUCUGGUGGUUCCAGGAGUUUGUAAUAUGCCAAUCCCAAUGGAACAGUGAAUUGAGCUAUUGUACACCAAACCAAUGAAAUAAUAAUACCAGAUCUGAAAGAGAAGGAAUGCAAGAGAAAAGAUAGGGGGAAGGGAAGAAUAGAUCAGCAGCCAAGGAUAUGUCUCUGAACUAUAUAGCCCCAGUAAUUGUGAAUGGACAAUGUAUAACUGAACUAGAUAAGGCUGAGGUAGCUAAGGAAUCUCAUAACUGGAAGUGUGCACUAAUUGAAUAUGUAAUUGGGGCAAACCCUGGGUAUAAUGGUUAUAAUGUGAUGAUGCAAUAUAUCAAUCAAAAUUGGAAGGAAGUUGCUCAACCGGAGUUAUAUAUGCAUGAUGAAGGUUAUUUCAUUACUAGAUUUAACUCACAGACUGACCUACACAGUUUUAUGCUCAGGUUCAUACACUAUCAAUAAUCUUCCUCUCAUACUCAAGUUGUGGUCAGCCCAAUUUGAUUUUAAUGAAGAAUACCCUACUAAGAUCCCGCUAUGGGUGAAAUUUCCUAAACUACCAAUGAAUUAUUGGAGUUACGAUUCAUUGAGUAGGAUUGCUAACUCAAUAGGCACUUCUAUGUAUGCUGAUGAGUGCACCACCAAGCAGACUCGCAUAUCCUAUGCUUGAAUUCUAGUUGAGGUCAACAUUACUCAGCUAUUACCUGAUUCAGUCAUAGUGAGAGCCCCUGAUAGUCAUGUUUUUCAGCAGGUAGUCAUGUACGAUUGGAAGCCUGUGUUCUGCCAAAAAGGUCAGAUUAUUGGUCAUACAUGUCACAGAUAACCCCCACCAAUGCCCAGAUAAAAGAAAGAAAUACCCAAAAGAGUGAUCCAAACCUGGCAAUACAAUGUCUUAAUCGUGGAUCAAGACAAGAGGCCUAGAAUUUAGAGAAAAAUGAGCCAUAGACACUAGAGCAAGCCACUGUUAAGGGAGAAAAAUCAAUUAUAACACUGGAGCCUACAACCACCACAUCUUCACAGUCUACACAACUAGUAAAGUCCACACAACUAGUAAAGUCCAAUGAGACUAGCUUUCAACCAGUAACUAUUAAGAAAAGAGGUGUUGUUCCUAUUGAUAUUAUCUUGGAUAUGGGUAUGUCUUCUAUCUCCUUCGGGAACAGGUUUGCUAGUAUUUAGAGUGACAUAGGUGAGGCGAGUUUGGCCCUUCUUGAUAGAGGGAAAAUACAUAAUACCAUAUGAAACGGCUGUUUUGGAAUAUCAGGGGUAUGAAUAAAAGGUAUAAGCAAAAAGAAGUUAAAAAUUUGCUUAAGAAUAAAAAAGUUGAUUUAGUAGGAAUAGUAGAAACUAGAGUCAAGGCUCACAAAGCCACUCAAAUAAGUGCCCACAUUGCUUCUGUUUGGGGGAAAUUACACAAUUACAACUCUACUGAAAAUGGUAGAAUUUGGAUACUAUGGGAUACUCGACACUACUAUGUCUCUCUUUUGAAAGAAGAGAUGCAAUUAAUACAAUGUCAGGUCAGGAGCUUAGCUGAUGGGGAAGUCUGUUUAAUUACGGUAGUAUAUGGAUACAAUACUGCAUCUUUGAGACUGAUGCUAUGGGACCAAUUAUGAGAGAUAUCACAAGGUAACCAACAACCAAGGAUUAUCAGUGGUAACUUCGAAGCUCUAUUGUACCCUCGGGAUAGAUUUGCAGGGAAUCCAGUACAAUAUAGUGACUCGAAGGAUUUUACUAACACAUUCAUAGUUGUGCACUUUAUGAGAUAUCAUGGAAAGGAGACUAUUAUACUUGGUCAACAGAAAACUUGGAAAAGAUAGAAUCUGAGCAGAAUAGAUAGAACUUUGGGCAACAGUGUUUGGAUGCAACAAUGUGGGUCAUGUGAAGGUUGAAUAUGAGGUCCCUUAUGUCUCAGACCACUCUCCAGUGUUUAUUAAUCUUACAGGUAAUAACUGAACAUCAAAGUGUCACUUAAGUUUUUUAAUGUGUGGACAGAGCACAAAGAUUUCCUGCAAAAUAUUAUUGAACAUAACUGGCAAGGUAUAAAGAACCUCGACCCUGGAAAGAACUUAUGGAUGAAACUCAAAGCUCUAUAGACUAAUUUGAAAGCCGUCAAUAACCUAGAAUUUAAAGUCAUAGCUCAGAGGAUAGAAAAAUCUAGGACUGAUCUUCAUAUUAUACAGGAGAAUAUGUUGCAAUGUCAAUCAGAUACCCUGCAAGCUUACGAGAAAAUAACUCUUCAAACUCUUGAAAAAUGGUUUGAGGUAGAGGAAAGUAUUAUGAAGUAGAAUCCAAAGCACAAUGGAUUAAACCUGGAGACUUCAAUACAAAAUAUUUCUCAGCAGUUGUCAAAGACAGAACCCAGAGGAAGAAUAUUACUGAACUCACCAGCUUGGUUGGUGACUUACUAACUGGCCCUAAAGCUAUUAAAGAGGAAAUUAUCUCUUUAUAUAAGGGUCUAAUGGGUUCUACAGCUCUUUCCGUACCUCAGUUGAUAUCUCAAAUAUGCAGAAAGGUCCUAGACUGUAGCAGAAUCAAAAAAUACUACUGUGACUGAAGAAAAAAUUCUUAAAAGCCUAAAAACUAUGAAAGAUGAUAAAACCUGGAUUGGAUGGAUAAAAUGUUGUGUUCUUUAAUAAAACUUGGCAUUUUUUUAAGCACGAGGUCAUUUUCACUGUGAAGCAUUUCUUUGAUACUGAAAAACUUUUCAAGCCUCUUAAUUGUGCAAUAGUAACCCUGGUUUCAAAAAUCCAAGCUCCUACCACAGUUAAAGACUAUAGACCUAUUACAUUUUGCUCUAUUGUGUGUAAGUUGAUUUUUAAGAUAUAAUAAGUAGACUCCAGAAUGUCAUGCAACCCGUAUUAAUGAGGCUCAAUCUAGUUUUAUCCCUGGUAGAAGAAUAGGGGAUAGUAUUAUCAUGGCACAUGAACUUAUCAAAGGCUACAUCAGAAAGAACAUCUCCCCCAGAUGCGUGAUCUCCAAAAGGCAUAUGAUUCUGUUGAAUGGAUAUAUUUGCAUCAUAUUUUAGUGGUUCUGGGAUUUCCUGAUAAAUUUAUCACUUGGCUCAUGUGUACAAACUGUUUCUUAUAGUAUUAUGAUCAAUGGUGAACCUAGUGAACCUUUUCCAGCAGCUAAGGGAUUAAGACAAGGUGACCCCAUAUCACACUUCCUUAUUUGCUUUAGCAAUGGAAUACCUGAGCAAGACAUUAUCAUAGUUGAAGAUGGAUAAAGGCUUUCACUAUCAUCCUAGAUGUGCCAAGCUAGGUGUCGCGCCCUAUUUCGAACCGGUGGAGAUAGUCCACAACAUAGUUGUGGUCACUGUGACUCUUUGGUUUUGAAAAUCAUUUUUAUGUAAAAAAAAUCUAUUUUUGAUCUUUCAAAAAUAUUUGAGAUUCUAAGUAAAGGUUUCGGUUACUCGAGGGUAAGGUGUUAAGCACCCCUAAGGGCCUAUCCGAAGAUAGUCCUUAACUCAGUUUAGGAAGACAUUUGGAAAAAUAUUUACUUUUAUUAUUUACAAUAAUAGUGGUAACUACACAUAAUGUUUAUCAAAUUCUAAAGAAACACACAAGGUACAUAAACAUAUCCUUCCGAUAUACGAAAAAGUGACGUAAUUUAUUGUCAAAAUAUGCAUGCAAUGUUUCAAAAAAAUAUGAAAAUGCACAUCUAUAAACCCAUGUAUUCAAUACCAUACGAUUUUUCAGAAACAUAAAUUCUAAACAGAACCAAAGAUUCGUAGAAAUCAAAAGAAAAACGAAAGAAAAGGAGAUGAGAGUUGAAUUAGAAAGGGAAUCCGCACCUUUUCUGGGGCAGCAAUUGAGGCUUUCCGUCAAGAUUCCGGCCACCAAACUCUACACCGGAAACUCGAUUUUAACAUGAAAUUAAGAAGAAAGACCAAGAAUUAUUGUGAUCUCCUACAUAUUUCCAAAAUACCCAAGGCUGAGUUUUGAACGUUCUCCUCCUUUCUCGACCGAUCUGAAACUUUUAUAUCUUUUAAAACUCGUUUCUCCCCUUUGCCUCGAAUCUGACAAAACCUCCAUUUUUGGACCUCUACAAACACUCCCUCUUUUAGUGAUGGAAUUGAAGGUAUUUAUAGUUAAAUUAGAACUUCAAAAUUUGGAUUUGACACUUAAAUCUAUAGAAGCCAACGGAUAGAAAAAAGAUGGGGGGAUUCAAAUUCAAAAACAGGAAAGAGACAUCACAUAACCUAAAAUUUUGGACGAUCCUUGGACCUUUAGUGUGGAUUUGAAAUUGAUUUUCAAUUCUUGUACCGAUUUGGAACUGUUUUUCUAAUGUCCGUUGGUUUCACGGGUCGGAGGAGAUAAAAUUGAGGGAAAUCUUGACAAGUGAGGGCAGACGAUGGUCAGUUAUGGUGGUGGAUAGGGUUUCAUUUUCGGGGUUGUUGAGGAGAAGAAGAAGAACAAACAAGGGAGGGGUCAGUAGUCUUGCUGUGCAUUUUUGAAGAAUGGAUGGAGACUAGUCGAUGCUUCUCUGAUAAACAAGCAAAGACGCGUCUGUGCUGUACUUAUUGAAGACCAA